GAAGAUUUUUUUUAUAAUUGAUAAGAAAGACAACAUUGUUAAGAAAAUUGAGAGGAAAACAAAAUAACAUGCAAUAAUUUGAUGGAGAAUGGAAGAGUGGUUAUUAGUUCCUGCCUGCAGGGACUAUAAUGGAGGCCUCUUUCGUUAACUGGUGAUUAAUGCAAUUGCAAUGAGCGAAUCAGAAAUCAACAUUCACAAAUAUUUUUGCCUUGGCUAAUGUCAGGUGGGUUGCGUAUUAUUUAAGCAAAUUUUGUGGCAUUUAACGAUUGGCGUUAUUCACGGUCUGCAGAGGCUUGUGCGCUUCUCGACGGGAGAGAAUGCACAAGUCCAAAGUCAGUUGUAGGGGCCGCCGAAAUGAAAGUUUGCAGAGCGAAGACGGUAGAAAAACAUGGCCGGCAAAAGAGACCUGCAGAUUGAAAGCAACAUUUGGCGAGAUCGCAUGCAGUAUGCAUUCAAACUACACAGUUGUCUAUUAGGGUUUUCAUUUGCAAAUGAUAGGUGUGGCUGCCACUGGAGCAUGGACAGGUGGCGAUUGGGGUUUCAAUUUUUUUUUUUUUAAAUAAUAGAGGCUACAUUUUCUCAGUCAUUUUUUGCUCUGGUAUCAUCUUCACUUUGCUUUUGCGCUCCCCCUUAACCUUGUUUCAAGAUAAGUUGAUAACCCCAGGCUUCGUUGUUGAUCCUGCACCAGAAUUGGCCUUAGUGCAUUUAUCUCUCACACAAGUCCCUUGGUUCGAGUAUCGUCCGGUAAAUUUGUUGAUCAACAUCAUUCAAGUAACAUUUGGUUGUUAGGGUUAUAGCUAUCUUUGCAUGUUGGUUUCAAGUGGAGGAUCGUGGAAGACUUUAGGGCAUAGGGUAGAGCGUCAGCCCUAAUUAAAAAUCUUUGUUUCUUCUAGUUGGGUCAGUUGGCUCCUCAUCCUCAGCAGGUACCCAUUUCAAUUAGUUUUAAUUUAUUAUCAUAAUGCUUUGUUUCCUACUCUGUUAAUGACCAGCUUCUCUUUGUGGGUGGGUAUUCGAAAGAUGCUGCUAUUAAUGGUAGAUAGGAACAAUCCUCCCAAACCAAUCUUCUUUUUCUAGGGAUAGGGCAUAAAUACUCUGCAGGUUUAAAUUGACGUCUAUUUCAUCAUCGCUAGGGGUUGGAAUCUGCAAGUAAGAAACUAAAAGGUCAAGCAUUUAGUUUUCGCUAAAAUGGAAGGUCGUUGACAUUCCCACAUUCUCCAUACAUGGAAAUGAGAGCAUUCUUCAUAUAAAUGUCUGGUUUGUAUCACAUUUUGAUAAUGCAAGUCUCUUUUUCAAUAAUUUUUUGUGCUAAAAUAAAACCUUAAAAUUGUUUCAUUCCAUAGCUAAAGUUCACAUUGCAUAUCAUUUGUUUUGUUUGUCAAAAUAUUUGUUCUGUAAACAUCAUCAAAAGAUAAAAUGUGAAAGCCUAUUGGUUUUAUAUUCAUCUUUUGUGCGUCUUCCCUAAACUAGUUAAAAACUGUGUAAUUAUGCGUAUGCCUCACGCCUGAUGUGUUUUCGGCAUAUGUGUUUUAUAUGAAUACCCUUCUAAUGUUUACUUUGCCUUCUUACAUGUAUUUAUAGGUUUGUUUCAUGAUUGAUGUGUUUUCAGCAUGUCUACUCUAUGUGUACCUUCUCAUGUAUGCUUUGUAUCUUACAUGUUUUUACAUGCAUGACUGAGUAGGAUACCUCCACAACCUGAUCGUGUUUGGCAGUUUCUUCUCCUAUUUUCAAAUCCAGAUCUUUGAAUGCAGAGGCUCAAAACAGUCACAAAAACACAAUCAGAAAGCCCAGAAAGCCUACAGAGAAGCUCAGAGCAGCCAAAAAAGUCUACAAAGAAAUUGAAUGAGAAAAGGCAAAUGAAAUUAAAUAUUUCAUUACCACUGUACUAGUUUUGUACAUAGUUAAUUGACAAACAAUGAUCAGGACGAGUUCUUUCAAUUUAAAUUCCACGUAAAUCAAUUAACAAUGCUCAAGGAAUAUAUGUCAAUACAUAUACAUAUUUCCUCUUUUUGCUUUGUAUUGCAGUGUUCUGUUUAAGCACCCAAUUAAUCAUUUCUUGCUCAGUUUUGUUC
RNA transcript from Cryptomeria japonica (Japanese cedar), 2069 nucleotides. RefSeq lists it as uncharacterized. The record is from RefSeq and is a predicted model, not a curated record. The transcript is spliced from 4 exons. NCBI's taxonomy places the organism in Eukaryota, Viridiplantae, Streptophyta, Pinopsida, Cupressales, Cupressaceae.